CUCAGAAACUUCAUAGGCUACUAUUUUAGAUUCAGUCAAAAGGACUUAGCGUGUCAUCAUACUAAAUGUUGCAAAUCUGAACUGCAAUCCCAGAGGGCAGAUUCACCACACCAGUCAAGUGCAGGGAAGCAGGAAAGUGGCUCCUCAGGUGAGGCUCCUUGUUGAUCACCCACCAGGGAAACCCAAGAAUGAAGACAAGCCAUGCCUCGCUCUGCACUGUGGGCACUAACCUGCAGACAUGAAGCAGACACCAAAUGUGGCAUUCACAGUCCCUGCAGUGCCAAGAAAGUCUGCAAAGAAUAAACAUCAUUGGUAGUACUGAUGUGCUGGCAGUAUAUGAAUUAAGGAAGUCACAGACUGGGUGAAAAAGUAAUAAGAUAUUUACAGUCAAAUUGUCUCUGGAAUAAGUCCACAAAAACUAAAGGAGGAAGAAAAAGGGAAGAAUGAGGCCAGAAGAUCCAUUGGAAGGUUUACCAGUUCUAGUUUGAGCAAGACAAUAUCUGAGAAGAUGGCUGCUAUAUAGAUACCUACAUAGUUAGGUCAGUUAUUAUUUCAGUUCAUUUUCUUUUUGGUAUUUUUUAUAAAAAAUUAAA
Pseudopipra pipra is the source of this 593-nucleotide long non-coding RNA. RefSeq lists it as uncharacterized. The record is from RefSeq and is a predicted model, not a curated record. Lineage: Eukaryota; Metazoa; Chordata; Aves; Passeriformes; Pipridae. The transcript is spliced from 3 exons.